AUAGGACUGGAGGACGAGCGAAAGAUGCUGACCGAGUCUGGAGAUCCUAAGGAGGAGGAAGAAGAAGAGGGGGAAUUAGUGUUUCUACAUCAGGAUCCCCUAACAACAGUGAGAGAGCAAUGCCAGCAGUUGGAGAAAUGUGUAAAGGCCCAGGAGUGGCUGGAGCUCUGUGAUGAGUGUGUAUCCUCUCAAUCACAUACAGAAGAGGAUUGCACGGAGGAGCUCUUUGACUUUUUGCAUGCAACGGACCAUUGCGUGGCCCACAAACUCUUUAACAACUUGAAAUAA
Molecule: long non-coding RNA, 288 nt
Filed under: Homo sapiens (human)
Lineage: Eukaryota; Metazoa; Chordata; Mammalia; Primates; Hominidae
Description: non-protein coding lnc-RAB10-2:1
Source: RNAcentral